Ornithodoros turicata is the source of this 237-nucleotide long non-coding RNA. RefSeq lists it as uncharacterized. Lineage: Eukaryota; Metazoa; Arthropoda; Arachnida; Ixodida; Argasidae. The record is from RefSeq and is a predicted model, not a curated record. The transcript is spliced from 3 exons.
CCGAAACAUCAAGAAGGCUUUUUGGCAGUCCCAGUCUGGAGCUGUUAAGGGCUUCUACGACGCAAAAGUCUUGCUACUUGGAGAGUCCAAAGAGGCCCUCAUAACGAACAUGGUCAGCAGGCGUAUGGCUAUACCUGAAAUAUUUGAGCCCACAGAUACGGACACGAGUGACGGUGCUGCGUCAGUUGUGAAGCCAAAAGGUCGUGAAAACGGUCAAGGCAUGAAAAUGGAAGCACG